RNAcentral lists this ribosomal RNA (371 nucleotides) under uncultured organism. RNAcentral's name for it is "bacterial SSU rRNA". It matches the Rfam family "Bacterial small subunit ribosomal RNA", at positions 527 to 896 of the family's 1533-position model. The record is from RNAcentral.
GAAGGGUGCAAGCGUUAAUCGGAAUUACUGGGCGUAAAGCGUGCGUAGAUGGUUCAUUAAGUCGGAUGUGAAAGCCCCGGGCUCAACCUGGGAACUGCAUCCGAUACUGGUGGACUAGAGUGCGGUAGAGGAUGGCGGAAUUCCCGGUGUAGCGGUGAAAUGCGUAGAGAUCGGGAGGAACAUCCGUGGCGAAGGCGGCCAUCUGGACCAGCACUGACGUUGAGGCACGAAAGCGUGGGGAGCAAACAGGAUUAGAUACCCUGGUAGUCCACGCCCUAAACGAUGUCGACUGGAUGUUGGGUGCAACUUGGCACUCAGUAUCGAAGCUAACGCGUUAAGUCGACCGCCUGGGGAGUACGCGCGCAAGCGUG